AUUUGAUGGGCCUAUGUCUGCUUUUGUGGCAUUAUAGCAAUUUGAGUGUUCAAAUAACCCAACAAAGACCUACUAUUCGAGAAAGCAGACACUCCAGGGUAUUUUAUAUGGCGUAUAUUGUGCCUAAACGUGCUGCCAUUUUUUCACCAAUUUAUGUCAAGAUUUGUGGUAAGAAACAAAAAAAAGGCAUAAUUUUACAUAAAUGUUGCAUUUUUGCUGGGUAUUUCGUACAUUUGAUAUGUGCCACUAUCAC
Pelobates cultripes (western spadefoot toad) is the source of this 253-nucleotide non-coding RNA. Lineage: Eukaryota; Metazoa; Chordata; Amphibia; Anura; Pelobatidae. The record is from the annotation of a GenBank genome assembly.